GUAAUAUAAGAUACAGUUUUUUAUCUUUUAACUAAAAAAGCUAAGAAACGUCUCUUAAAUAAGAGAUAUAAGAGACGUCUCUUAGCCUUUUUUAGUUAAAAGCUAAAAAACCGUAUCUUAUAUUAC
This is a non-coding RNA of Brassica napus (rape), 126 nucleotides long. Lineage: Eukaryota; Viridiplantae; Streptophyta; Magnoliopsida; Brassicales; Brassicaceae. The record is from Rfam.